GAUAAAAAGCCAGUUCAUGCUUUUACAGUAUGAAAAUUGGUGAUUUAUAAUAACUUAGCAAAUCGCAAAGUGAAAACAGGCGAUAAAUCAUUCAAGUUUCUGACCUAUCAGCUUUCGACGGUAUGGUAUUGGCUUACCGUGGCAGUGACGGUUAACGGGGGAUUAGGGUUCGAUUCCGGAGAGGGAGCCUGAGAAACGGCUACCACAUCUAAGGAAGGCAGCAGGCGCGCAAAUUACCCAAUUCUAACAGUUUGAGAGAGGUAGUAACAAGAAAUAACAAUACAAGGCAGUUAAAAUGCUUUGUAAUUGGAAUGAUAGAAAUUUAAACCCUUUUUAAAGUAUCAAUUGGAGGGCAAGUCUGGUGCCAGCAGCCGCGGUAAUUCCAGCUCCAAUAGCGUAUAUUAAAAUUGUUGCAGUUAAAAAGCUCGUAGUUGAAGUUCUGCUGAAAGUAACCGGUCUGCUUUUAAUAAAAGUGGUAUCUUGGUAUGUAUUUAGCAAUGAUGUCCUUUGAAGUGUUUUUUACUUUAUUGUAAUAAAGCAUAUUCAGGACUUUUACUUUGAGAAAAUUAGAGUGUUUCUAGCAGGCUAACGCUUUGAAUACUGCAGCAUGGAAAUAAUAAG
RNAcentral lists this ribosomal RNA (621 nucleotides) under Hepatozoon canis. RNAcentral describes it as "bacterial SSU rRNA". It matches the Rfam family "Eukaryotic small subunit ribosomal RNA", at positions 213 to 822 of the family's 1831-position model. Lineage: Eukaryota; Apicomplexa; Hepatozoidae. The record is from RNAcentral.